Molecule: ribosomal RNA, 242 nt
Filed under: uncultured Actinomycetales bacterium
Lineage: Bacteria; Bacillati; Actinomycetota; Actinomycetes; Actinomycetales
Description: partial 16S ribosomal RNA
Rfam family: Bacterial small subunit ribosomal RNA
Source: RNAcentral
CGUCGAGUGGCGAACGGGUGAGUAACACGUGGGUGAUCUGCCCUGCACUUCGGGAUAAGCUUGGGAAACUGGGUCUAAUACCGGAUAGGAGCCAUCUUUAGUGUGGUGGUUGGAAAGUUUUCUAGGUGUAGGAUGAGCUCGCGGCCUAUCAGCUUGUUGGUGGGGUAAUGGCCUACCAAGGCGGCGACGGGUAGCCGGCCUGAGAGGGUGUACGGCCACAUUGGGACUGAGAUACGGCCCAG